Molecule: ribosomal RNA, 244 nt
Filed under: uncultured bacterium
Lineage: Bacteria
Description: partial 16S ribosomal RNA
Rfam family: Bacterial small subunit ribosomal RNA
Source: RNAcentral
CGGGGUGAGUAACACGUGGGUAACCUGCCCGGAAGUGGGGAAUACCUCGGGGAAACUCGAGCUAAUACCGCAUAACAUCUUUAGGACGAUGGUCCUGACGAUCAAAGCGGGGUCGCAAGAUCUCGCGCCACCGGAUGGGCCCGCGCCUGAUUAGCUAGUUGGUGGGGUAACGGCUCACCAAGGCUUCGAUCAGUAACCGGCCUGAGAGGGCGAUCGGUCACACCGGAACUGAGACACGGUCCGG